GUUUAACGUCCAUUACCAACCUAGGUUACAUGUAGGGUAUGUUACAACUACCAUUACCAGUAUAAGAUCAUUACCAGUCUAGGUUACAUGUAGGAAAUGUGAUUUCAUAAAAGAUGAUGUUUGAAAAUGGUGUGAUAGUCAUGUCUGCAGAAUUCCUUGAAGAUAUCUGCCAAUAAAGAUUUAAGUUGAGGAAGAUCAUUUAGCACAAAAAAACAGUGAUUCACGUACCUGAUGGUGGUGCAAGUGGCUAUUCAACAAACUUUUACAUCCAACCGAAAAAUAAAACGGAAAAAACAUUUCUGUCGGAGACACAAGACAAAAGAAAUAGAAUUUUAUUGUCGCGAUUGUUCUGGUGCUACUUGUAGUAAUUGUGUGAUAUUGGAUCACAGAAAUCAUACAGUAGCUGAUCUUCAAGAGGUUGACCAAGAAAUCAGAGGAAAGUUGAACAUUAUGAAGGGGGAGUUAGUAGGUAAGGUUGAAAAACUGGAGACACACUGUGAAUCAUUAACCUGAAGAAGUCAGAAAACAUGGUGGUGACAUAAAAUGUGAAAUGAAUAAAAUUCGUGACGACGAAAGUAAAAAGUUACAGACAUUACAUGACGAUAUGAUCCAAAUGAAAAGUUCUCUACAGAACAGUUUGAAAUAUAUGAAUCAAGUGUUAAAUGGUAAAUCUACAUUUCCAGUUGUAGAUGCGUUAACCAAUGUACAAACACCGACUGAAAACAGCAGAUCGACCAGUUUAGAUAUACCACCAGUAAGAUAUGUCCAUUAUCCUAUGGUAGAUAUAGAUGUUAAAACAUUAAAACUACUACUAGGUGAAAUAGAAACAAUGGAGUCACCAACCUGGACAUCUAGUUUUAGUUUGAAUCGGGUGAAGACAGAUGUCUACUACUCUGGUGAUGAUGUAAUGAUACAAGGAAUGCCAUGGUGUGUAGAUGUUAGACAUCUUUCAGAUACAUCAACAUUAGGGUGUUUCCUGCAUCUGAGAGGAGUAGAUGAUAAAACAGUUAAAACCGUUACAGCUAGUUAUACACUAAAACUAUUAAAUAUAAAUGAUGCAAGUAAAUCUAUAGUGGGACAAUAUACAUAUACAUUUACACCUGGUAAUGUUGGAUAUGGUAACCCCCGCUUUAUAGAGUGGAAUAAACUAGAGGAUGUGAAGGGGGGGUUUAUAACUAACGAUAAAACAUUUACUGUACAAGCGUCUGUAAAAAUAAACAACAUAGAACUAUAGUGAUAUUUAUAUUACAGAACAUAAUACGAUAGAUGGGUGUCAUCAUAAUACAAGGACAUAUCUCUAUUGUUAGUCCAAUACAAGGACAUAUCUCUAUUGUUAGUUCAAUACAAGGAUAUAUCUAUGUUGUUUAUACAAUACAGGGACAAAUACCUUUACUUUAAAAUAUGUUGUUCAAUCAGAAACAUUUAAGUUACCUGUAUGUGAAAUAAAUAGAUUUUAAAAUUUAUUUUGAAACUAAUAUAAUAUAACGUAAGGUAUGUGUCUAUGGUUGUGUGUGUGUAAUAUUAACUGAUACAGUGUAAAGUAUGUGCCUAUGGUCGUGUGCACAAUGAGUCAGUAAAUAACUAUAUAUUAACUGUGUAAUGGUAUCAGUUAUGACCGUGUAAUGGUAUCAGUUAUGUGUUGUGAAAGACAGGGAAAUGGGACUAACGCAUGGUUCAACUUGAUUGCAAUAAUUCGCCCACUCGUAGAGGUCCUUAUGAAGAAGGACCCGGAGAAAACCCACGAGGCUGGACAGGCGACAUUACUCCUUGUUUCGUACAUGUAGGGAAUCGAAACCACGCCACAUGACUCAAUGACAAACCUUAUGAUUUCACGUGCAUGCGUUAAACCACUAGACCAUCCACCCAGUACGUUGUUACGAUAAAUAUAAGAUGAUUAUGUGACUCACAAAAACAAGAUGAUAACAUUUUUUAUAAUUCAGACUAUUUAUAUAAUUUUAUAUAAUUUAUUGA
This is a long non-coding RNA of Patella vulgata (common limpet), 1971 nucleotides long. RefSeq lists it as uncharacterized. NCBI's taxonomy places the organism in Eukaryota, Metazoa, Mollusca, Gastropoda, Patellidae. The transcript has 3 exons. The record is from RefSeq and is a predicted model, not a curated record.